RNAcentral lists this long non-coding RNA (1304 nucleotides) under Homo sapiens (human). RNAcentral describes it as "PREDICTED lncRNA (TCONS_00212475)". Lineage: Eukaryota; Metazoa; Chordata; Mammalia; Primates; Hominidae. The record is from RNAcentral.
CGCCGUCGACCCCACGCCACGCAGAGGUGAAGAUACGCAGGACGUCCUCUAAAGCAACUUCCGUGGGUGCCAGGUUGUGGGCUGGGGGCGGUGCUGACCUUGAGAGAGCGGAGGAGGCGCAGGCGCAGCACAGUUUAAACUUGAUUUUGUGAGGGGACGAACAGCGUGACAAUUAAAAGAAGAUCUGGGAAUCAAAAGCUUCCUGAGGCCUUCACCAGAAGCAGAUGCUGGUGCCGUGCUUCUACAGCCUGCAGAACUGAAGGACUUUACAGCUUCUCUUUCGCAUAUCCAAAUUGCCAGCAUCACCGCUCUUGCACUCCAAGCCAUUAUUAAGUAAAGUAAAGAACACAAACACUGUGAUACUGCUACACUUGAUCUGAUAACCAAGAAGUCUACUAAGUGACUAACAGCAGAGCAACUGGGAACCUAAUUCUGACCAAAAAGGAGGAAUUGUUUGGCUAAUUGGAAGUGACAGAAACCUUGGGAGAAAGCAACCGCAUACCAAGGAUAAUUAUAAGAAGAAGAGAAGACAUGGAGAAGAGGAGGGAGUAGUUGUGACCGUGGAGGCAGAGAAUGGAGUAAUGUGAUCAUAAAUCAAGGAAUGCUGACAGCCACUAAAGCUGGAGAAGGCCAAGGACAGAUAUUCAAUCCUCCCGUAGAAGUACAGCCCUGCUAAUGCAUUGAUUUUGGACUUCUGGCCUCAGAACUAUUUAUAUAUCAGCUUUUUAUCAGUUGAAAUAAACCACCCUGGGCCGGGUGCAGUGGCUCACACCUGUAAUCCCAGCACUUUGGGAGGCCGAGGUCUGGAAAGCAUGGAAAUUUGUAUCUUCAUUCACUUUUGUUUUCAUGGACUCUUUUCAUGUUUGAACUUUUCAUGAUCCAAUGUGAUAAUUUAUGUGAAAUCUUUCUGCAAACUAUACAGUAUGAUAAAAAUAUAAGGUAGUUUCACUGGAAACAACAGAAGACUAGAAGCUGAUGUGACGUGGCAAUAUCAACCAGGAGUGGGUGGACAUUUGGCAUCCAGGAUGUGGUUCCAAGCUUGAGCCAUGGGAUGGUUUUUAUCUAUCUUCAUCAGAAGGGAGUAUGCUAAAGAACACAUAUGAGAUUACUGUGUGUCUGACACACAGUAGGCCCUUAAUAUUAGUUUGCUGAAUGCACAAAGGGAGGGAACUUCACCAAACUGAAGAUCAUUUCUCAGGAGUAACUUUAAUAACAAGCUGAGGCACAAAAUCCCACUAAAGUUUACCAGCUACCUAUUUAGAAUGGCUGAAUUUUAACAGAUGUUGACUGACUCUCUUAGGAAC